Molecule: long non-coding RNA, 1813 nt
Organism: Vespula pensylvanica (western yellowjacket)
Lineage: Eukaryota; Metazoa; Arthropoda; Insecta; Hymenoptera; Vespidae
Exons: 2
Source: RefSeq, a predicted model, not a curated record
CUUCUCGUUGAAAAAAGCAUACGAACAUUUUGUAAAAUGAUUCCCUAAUGAAUAUCGCGGUACAUCGAACGAUGACACUCAGUUUAUCGGUGAUGAAAUAAGAGUAAAUCACUGUGGACUCGUAUACAAACUCCUUUCGUUGGAUUUACGAUAAAAACGGACAAACAAAUGAAACAGAUAUUGCAUUUCGGAACGUAUAAUAAGUCGAGUUCUUGUGUCAUACGUUUUAUGGAUAAUUCCAUUGGAAGGGUUAACAAAGCAUGCGAAAUUAUCCACGGAAUCGAUUCACAAAGAAGAAGGUCCGACCUACAUCUAGACAUCACCGGCACUCUUUAAAAAUGUGGGAAAAAGAAAAUAUAUAUCAACCGCUUCAUCGAUUUUAUAAUACCUUUCAUUUGGAAUUUUUACCUUGAACGAACGCAAACGAGUUUCAAUAAUGGUAUUGCGAUUUUUCUAAUAAAAAUUAUGAAGCUUCGGUUAAACGCUAUCGGUCGCUCGGUUAUUGCCCAUCAAUUCUAUUAUACAUGCGAUCGUAAAAUCGAUUCGACAUUAUCGAAAUUUAUGUUUCUCAUUCUUCCUUUCAUAUAAUUUAUAUAUUAUCAAAGAAACUUCGGGCAUGUAUACAACGUGUCACUUUGAAGACGAUCGAUCUCUUAGAGAACGCUCGGAAAUCUCCGAGGUGAGUUAUCCUAAGCGAUAAGAACAUAAACAGACGCGUCGUCGACGAAUUCCACGACGUAUCUUUGUACAUACGAUAAAAGUAGAAAACGCCAAAGACGCGUUAGCAACCCUGACGCCUAUUCCUCUGGAACUUUUUAACGAGAUCGUUUCGUUCUUGGUAGACGAACGAGAUCGAUAGAUAGACCAGCCACGACAAAAAUAGAUAAAUGAAAUGCAUUAGAGCAUCGACGAGUUUAUUCGACGUCAAUAAGUAAUAGCGUAAUCGGAGGAUCGUUGAAUUUCCGUGGCUUUUCGGCCGAUCGACCUUCCUUUUGAGUUAUUGUUUGCUAUCACGAAACGACAACAAUUGGAUUAGUAUCUCUAUAAUAACAGAACAUUGCUACUCUAACAGAAAAUUUGUAUUUAUUUCUUCUAUUUUCGAUAAUAUGUAAUAUCGUGACAAUAAACUGUUCCAUCGAAUAAAUUAUUUUAAUCAAUUGCAAAACAAUAAUUUUUUUCUUUUCGCGAGUUAUUUCGCGUUUAGAGUUUUGAGUGCCUGUGGAUCCGGUAAAGUAACGCUAAAAACAGUUUAUUUUCGUACUAUUUUCGCAAGGCUUGUAACUUUCACGUUUUACGCGACCACGGACACGUUGCUAAUCUAUUUUUACGAAAGAAGGAAUGAAGCUCGAUCAUAAGCUCCUUUCCUACCGUACAAAAUAACGAGUUUUUGAGAGAAAUCAUUUUCUUCGAGAAGGUCAUCGUUUAAAGUACACCUUUCGAAGGUAGUUAGUAACUCGAACGAGCUCGAACUUUUCCGAUCAGUUCGAACGAAGCUAUUGUACGGAUCCUUUGUUGCCUUGAACUUAACCACCAUAGAUCAAACUUGUAAGUAAUUUCACGAAGGUACGUCUCAUAUCGCUCGCAUUAAUAACAUGAUGUAUAUACUUCUAUAUAAGAUCCUGAACGACGAACCUUUGAACAUCUUUAUUUUUCUUUUGCUUUGAAAAUAGUGGAUACGAAUUUUCUACAAGAUCGAAUUUAAACGACUUCUUCGUAUUUUCUCGACGUAGAGAUUUCGUGGAUCUUGGUAAAGAGCUGGGGAACUCGGGAAAGAGAGGUGAAGAAAAAGAAGGAGGAGGAGGAGGAGGAGGAG